GUGCUCACUUCCGCAGCACAUCUACUAAAAUUGAAACUAAACAGAGAAGAUUAGCAUGGCCCCUGAGCAAAGAUGAGAAGGGCUGAGGCAAGAGAGCCUUUCUU
Suncus etruscus (white-toothed pygmy shrew) is the source of this 104-nucleotide small nuclear RNA. Lineage: Eukaryota; Metazoa; Chordata; Mammalia; Eulipotyphla; Soricidae. The record is from RefSeq and is a predicted model, not a curated record.